Capra hircus (goat) is the source of this 568-nucleotide long non-coding RNA. RefSeq lists it as uncharacterized. The record is from RefSeq and is a predicted model, not a curated record. Lineage: Eukaryota; Metazoa; Chordata; Mammalia; Artiodactyla; Bovidae. The transcript has 2 exons.
GGGCCACGCGCGGUCGGGGGCGGGGCUUGGGCGCGGCCUCUUUUCUGGCGCUGCGGUAGUAGGUCGGUUUCCGCAUCCCGCCUCCUGCCUCUGGCUCGCAGUUUGGUCGCGUGUCCGAGCCACAUGUUUAUUGCAGAAAUAAUUGGAAACUGGAAAAAACUACGGAGAAGAAAAUAAAAAUAACCUGAGUUCCACCACAGAAGAUCACCGCUAUUAAUAUGAUGGCAUUUUUCCUUCCUUUUUACAGAAUCACACAUAUGUUUGAAACAAAACUGGGCUCGCACUGUAAAUAGUUUUGCAGUUUUCUCCUUUCAUGCAUGGCUAAUGACAAAUGUCCACUCAUCGUGCAGAGGGCUCAUCUACAAUGUUAUUGGUAAUGGCAGAGUGCUGUGUAGAGUCACCGUGUUUUGUUUAACCUAUAUGCUCUGGUUAGACAUUAAUCCUUGCUUCCUCCUUCCUUUAUGAUGAACCUUCUUAUGGUUAAAUCUUUGUGCAUGUUCACAAAAAUUCCUUAUGACAAAUCCCAAAUGUGGAAUUGCUGAGUCAAUGAAUAAAGUCACUAAUGCUU